GCUGGUUGUAGCUCAGUGGUAGAGCUCUUGCCUAGGAUGCAUGCAGGAGGCUCUAGGUUCAAACCUAUCACUGCA
This 75-nucleotide transfer RNA is filed under the name Marmota monax (woodchuck). Its description in RNAcentral is "tRNA.Pro". The stretch from base 7 to 70 matches the Rfam family "tRNA", at positions 6 to 65 of the family's 71-position model. Rfam says of the family: Transfer RNA (tRNA) molecules are approximately 80 nucleotides in length. Their secondary structure includes four short double-helical elements and three loops (D, anti-codon, and T loops). Lineage: Eukaryota; Metazoa; Chordata; Mammalia; Rodentia; Sciuridae. The record is from RNAcentral.